GACGAACGCUGGCGGCGUGCUUAACACAUGCAAGUCGAACGGGCCUGUCUUCUUUUUUGGGGGUGGGUUGAGUGGCGAACGGGUGAGUAUCACGUGAGUAACCUGCCCUUCGGUCCUGGAUAACCGCUUGAAAGGGCGGCUAAUACGGGGUGGUCCGGUUGGUCCGCAUGGGCUGGUCGGGAUAGAUUCACUGUUUUUGGUGUUUCGGCGGGGGAUGGGCUCGCGGCCUAUCAGCUUGUUGGUGGGGUGAUGGCCUACCAAGGCGGUGACGGGUAGCCGGCCUGAGAGGGUGGGCGGCCACGCUGGGACUGAGAUACGGCCCAGACUCCUGCGGGAGGCAGCAGUGGGGGGUAUUGCACAAUGGGCGGAAGCCUGAUGCAGCGACGUCGCGUGAGGGAUGGAGGCCUUCGGGUUGUGAACCUCUGUUUCCGGUGGUGAAGGCCCUGUCCGUGUGGUGGGGUUGACGGUAGCCGGGGAUGAAGCGCCGGCUAACUACGUG
Molecule: ribosomal RNA, 499 nt
Filed under: uncultured bacterium
Lineage: Bacteria
Description: partial 16S ribosomal RNA
Rfam family: Bacterial small subunit ribosomal RNA
Source: RNAcentral